Molecule: long non-coding RNA, 255 nt
Filed under: Setaria viridis
Lineage: Eukaryota; Viridiplantae; Streptophyta; Magnoliopsida; Poales; Poaceae
Description: long non-coding RNA (SVIR_LNC002373)
Source: RNAcentral
CGAAUUUAGAGCCGUAUCAUAAUUUAGAGAGGUGGGGACUAGCCUUCUUUUAGCACCACUUGUAUAACUCUUUCAUCAAGACAAAACAAGAGUGCUCCAAAAUGGCAUAAUUAUGUUUCUGCUUCAUCGAAAUUGGUAAAUUAGAUGCAAAAUCCUGCUACUUAUUUAAUAAUGCUCCGCCUUUAUUUUUUCAGGAGAUUUUGAAGUUACAAUAAGUUCUCAAAUGUUACAGCAAGGUACUCUGCAUGACUUGAU